UACGUAGGGGGCUAGCGUUGUCCGGAAUCAUUGGGCGUAAAGAGCGCGUAGGCGGCUAGAUAAGUCCGGUGUGAAAGUCACAGGCUCAACCUGUGAAUGCCGCUGGAAACUGUCUGGCUAGAGUCCGGAAGGGGCGAGUGGAAUUCCUGGUGUAGCGGUGAAAUGCGCAGAUAUCAGGAGGAACACCUAUUGCGAAGGCAGCUCGCUGGGACGUAACUGACGCUGAGACGCGAAAGCGUGGGGAGCAAACAGG
RNAcentral lists this ribosomal RNA (253 nucleotides) under uncultured bacterium. RNAcentral's name for it is "partial 16S ribosomal RNA". It matches the Rfam family "Bacterial small subunit ribosomal RNA", at positions 524 to 776 of the family's 1533-position model. The record is from RNAcentral.